Molecule: microRNA precursor, 51 nt
Filed under: Mus spicilegus (steppe mouse)
Lineage: Eukaryota; Metazoa; Chordata; Mammalia; Rodentia; Muridae
Description: miRNA (ENSMSIG00000027750.1)
Source: RNAcentral
ACUUCUGAAUCACUAGAGGCUCUGGAAUGACCCAACCUCUUCAUACCCCAG